This 798-nucleotide long non-coding RNA is filed under the name Rattus norvegicus (Norway rat). RNAcentral describes it as "long non-coding RNA NONRATT002625". The record is from RNAcentral. Lineage: Eukaryota; Metazoa; Chordata; Mammalia; Rodentia; Muridae.
GAGGGUUCAGGGGACCUCAGAUGCUGUCCAGGUCUACGCGUGGCGUAGCGUCAGGAGGGUGAGGCCACAAGAAAAGACCGAGACAGAAAGGGCAUUCCCUUAUAAGUAGUCUGACCUGCUCAGGGAUGUAAUAUGCCGGCAGAACUUUAGCUGGAUUGGGCUAUUAGAAAGGUAGUUACGAAAGGGGAGGAGCCCCCUGAAGGUGAGAGGCGUGGUCUAAAUAAGGGCGGAACUUGGAACCCCCGCCCAAGGCAAAGCUUGGAUAAGAAGUGGAUGGUUAUCUAAGCACUGGGUACCUAAGAAGGGAUCGGAGGGGCCCCCUGGCUUGAGGAUGAGUUCCAGACGCAACGCGGCCUUUACACGUCUUCUGCAUCCCCAGGGCUGCGCGCGGAGCCUCCAGAAGUGGCUGCACAACAAUAUCAUCUCCAUAGUGGGAAUUUGUCUGGGAGUCGGUCUUCUUGAGCUCGGCUUCAUGACACUCUCGAUAUUCCUGUGUAGAAAUCUGGAUCACGUCUAUGACCGGCUGGCCCGGUACCGCUAGGCCCCAACCCACCGGUUGGCACCCACGCACCUCCAUGCAGUCAGGAACUGUUUCCUUCCUGGUUGGUUACAGGCUUGGAGCCCUGUGCCUCAGGCCUCAUUCUCUGGGGACCCAGAUGUCUGCCCUAAGACAGCCUUCACUUCCCCCACAGGGCCAGGGACUUUCGAGCCCAGCUUCCUUCCCUGCUCCCUCCUCCCCACACCAUCUGUCUGCCACCUCCCACAUGACACCUCAAAUAAAUCCCCUUCUUUUUUGGU